CAAUAGCGUAUAUUAAAGUUGUUGCAGUUAAAAGCUCGUAGUUGGAUUUCUGGGAGGGUGGCGAUGUCCGCUUAACGUGUGUGUAGCGGCGCCCUUCCAUCCUUCUGUUAGCGUCUCUUGGCAUUCAUUUGCUGGUGGCGGGCUCAGAUAUUUUACCUUGAAAAAUUAGAGUGUUCAAAGCAGGCUAGCGCUUGAAUACAUUAGCAUGGAAUAAUGGAAUAGGACUUUGGUGCUAUUUUGUUGGUUUAUGGGACCGAAGUAAUGAUUAACAGGGACAGUUGGGCCGUUUAUAUUUCGUUGUCAGAGGUGAAAUUCUUGGAUUUACGAAAGAUAAACUUCUGCGAAAGCAUUCGGCAAGGAUGUUUUCAUUGAUCAAGAACGAAAGUUAGGGGAUCGAAGAUGAUCAGAUACCA
Molecule: ribosomal RNA, 413 nt
Filed under: uncultured eukaryote
Lineage: Eukaryota
Description: bacterial SSU rRNA
Rfam family: Eukaryotic small subunit ribosomal RNA
Source: RNAcentral